RNAcentral lists this ribosomal RNA (1604 nucleotides) under Staphylococcus aureus. RNAcentral's name for it is "partial 23S ribosomal RNA". It matches the Rfam family "Bacterial large subunit ribosomal RNA", at positions 1290 to 2892 of the family's 2925-position model. The record is from RNAcentral. Lineage: Bacteria; Bacillati; Bacillota; Bacilli; Caryophanales; Staphylococcaceae.
GAGAAUGCCGGUGUGAGUAGCGAAAGACGGGUGAGAAUCCCGUCCACCGAUUGACUAAGGUUUCCAGAGGAAGGCUCGUCCGCUCUGGGUUAGUCGGGUCCUAAGCUGAGGCCGACAGGCGUAGGCGAUGGAUAACAGGUUGAUAUUCCUGUACCACCUAUAAUCGUUUUAAUCGAUGGGGGGACGCAGUAGGAUAGGCGAAGCGUGCGAUUGGAUUGCACGUCUAAGCAGUAAGGCUGAGUAUUAGGCAAAUCCGGUACUCGUUAAGGCUGAGCUGUGAUGGGGAGAAGACAUUGUGUCUUCGAGUCGUUGAUUUCACACUGCCGAGAAAAGCCUCUAGAUAGAAAAUAGGUGCCCGUACCGCAAACCGACACAGGUAGUCAAGAUGAGAAUUCUAAGGUGAGCGAGCGAACUCUCGUUAAGGAACUCGGCAAAAUGACCCCGUAACUUCGGGAGAAGGGGUGCUCUUUAGGGUUAACGCCCAGAAGAGCCGCAGUGAAUAGGCCCAAGCGACUGUUUAUCAAAAACACAGGUCUCUGCUAAACCGUAAGGUGAUGUAUAGGGGCUGACGCCUGCCCGGUGCUGGAAGGUUAAGAGGAGUGGUUAGCUUCUGCGAAGCUACGAAUCGAAGCCCCAGUAAACGGCGGCCGUAACUAUAACGGUCCUAAGGUAGCGAAAUUCCUUGUCGGGUAAGUUCCGACCCGCACGAAAGGCGUAACGAUUUGGGCACUGUCUCAACGAGAGACUCGGUGAAAUCAUAGUACCUGUGAAGAUGCAGGUUACCCGCGACAGGACGGAAAGACCCCGUGGAGCUUUACUGUAGCCUGAUAUUGAAAUUCGGCACAGCUUGUACAGGAUAGGUAGGAGCCUUUGAAACGUGAGCGCUAGCUUACGUGGAGGCGCUGGUGGGAUACUACCCUAGCUGUGUUGGCUUUCUAACCCGCACCACUUAUCGUGGUGGGAGACAGUGUCAGGCGGGCAGUUUGACUGGGGCGGUCGCCUCCUAAAAGGUAACGGAGGCGCUCAAAGGUUCCCUCAGAAUGGUUGGAAAUCAUUCAUAGAGUGUAAAGGCAUAAGGGAGCUUGACUGCGAGACCUACAAGUCGAGCAGGGUCGAAAGACGGACUUAGUGAUCCGGUGGUUCCGCAUGGAAGGGCCAUCGCUCAACGGAUAAAAGCUACCCCGGGGAUAACAGGCUUAUCUCCCCCAAGAGUUCACAUCGACGGGGAGGUUUGGCACCUCGAUGUCGGCUCAUCGCAUCCUGGGGCUGUAGUCGGUCCCAAGGGUUGGGCUGUUCGCCCAUUAAAGCGGUACGCGAGCUGGGUUCAGAACGUCGUGAGACAGUUCGGUCCCUAUCCGUCGUGGGCGUAGGAAAUUUGAGAGGAGCUGUCCUUAGUACGAGAGGACCGGGAUGGACAUACCUCUGGUGUACCAGUUGUCGUGCCAACGGCAUAGCUGGGUAGCUAUGUGUGGACGGGAUAAGUGCUGAAAGCAUCUAAGCAUGAAGCCCCCCUCAAGAUGAGAUUUCCCAACUUCGGUUAUAAGAUCCCUCAAAGAUGAUGAGGUUAAUAGGUUCGAGGUGGAAGCAUGGUGACAUGUGGAGCU